This 505-nucleotide ribosomal RNA is filed under the name uncultured bacterium. RNAcentral's name for it is "partial 16S ribosomal RNA". It matches the Rfam family "Bacterial small subunit ribosomal RNA", at positions 28 to 507 of the family's 1533-position model. The record is from RNAcentral.
GACGAACGCUGGCGGCGUGCCUAAUACAUGCAAGUAGAACGCACAGUUUAUACCGUAGCUUGCUCCACCAUAGACUGUGAGUUGCGAACGGGUGAGACACGCGUAGCUAACCUGCCUGGUAGCGGGGGAUAAGUAUUGGAAACGAUAGCUAAUACCGCAUAAUAUUGAUUAUUGCAUGAAAAUUAAUUGAAAGGUGCAAUUGCACCACUACUAGAUGAACCUGCGUUGUAUUAGCUAGUAGGUGAGGUAACGGCUCACCUAGGCGACGAGACAGAGCCGACCUGGGAGGGUGGUCGGCCACCCUGGGACUGGGACCCGGCCCCGACCUCUUCGGGAGGCAGCAGUAGGGAAACUUCGGCCAUGGGCGGAAAGCUUACCGCACCACGCCGCGGGAGUGCAGAAAGUUUUCGGGUCGGAAAGCUCUGUUUUAAGGGAAGAACGGGCGUGAGGGUGGAAAGUUCACACUGUGACGGUAUCUUACCAGAAAGCGACGGCUAACUACGUG